Molecule: small nuclear RNA, 171 nt
Filed under: Salmo trutta (river trout)
Lineage: Eukaryota; Metazoa; Chordata; Actinopteri; Salmoniformes; Salmonidae
Description: U1 spliceosomal RNA (ENSSTUG00000023838.1)
Rfam family: U1 spliceosomal RNA
About the family: U1 is a small nuclear RNA (snRNA) component of the spliceosome (involved in pre-mRNA splicing). Its 5' end forms complementary base pairs with the 5' splice junction, thus defining the 5' donor site of an intron. There are significant differences in sequence and secondary structure between metazoan and yeast U1 snRNAs, the latter being much longer (568 nucleotides as compared to 164 nucleotides in human).
Source: RNAcentral
UUGCAUCACUGGCAGGGAAGAUACCAUGAUCAAGAAGGUGGUUCACCCAUGGCGAGGCUCAGCCAUGGCACUCUGGCUGUUUUUUUUAGUUAACUAGGAAAGUCAGUUAAGAACAAUUUCUUAUUUUUACAAUUUGUAUAAUGUUUGUACCCUGUUUCGUGCUGCUACCAU